This 274-nucleotide ribosomal RNA is filed under the name uncultured bacterium. Its description in RNAcentral is "partial 16S ribosomal RNA". It matches the Rfam family "Bacterial small subunit ribosomal RNA", at positions 523 to 796 of the family's 1533-position model. The record is from RNAcentral.
AUACGUAGGGUGCAAGCGUUAAUCGGAAUUACUGGGCGUAAAGAGUACGUAGGUGGUUUGUUAAGUCAGAUGUGAAAGCCCCGGGCUCAACCUGGGAACUGCAUUUGAAACUGGCAAACUAGAGUAUGGUAGAGGGGGGUAGAAUUUCUAGUGUAGCGGUGAAAUGCGUAGAUAUUAGAAGGAAUACCAGUGGCGAAGGCGGCCCCCUGGACCAAUACUGACACUGAGGUACGAAAGAGUGGGUAGCGAACAGGAUUAGAAACACUAGUAGUCC